GAUGAACGCUGGCGGCGUGCCUAAUACAUGCGAGUCGAGCGAACAGAUGAGGAGCUUGCUCCUCUGACGUUAGCGGCGGACGGGUGAGUAACACGUGGAUAACCUACCUAUAAGACUGGGAUAACUUCGGGAAACCGGAGCUAAUACCGGAUAAUAUAUUGAACCGCAUGGUUCAAUAGUGAAAGACGGUUUUGCUGUCACUUAUAGAUAGAUCCGCGCCGCAUUAGCUAGUUGGUAAGGUAACGGCUUACCAAGGCAACGAUGCGUAGCCGACCUGAGAGGGUGAUCGGCCACACUGGAACUGAGACACGGUCCAGACUCCUACGGGAGGCAGCAGUAGGGAAUCUUCCGCAAUGGGCGAAAGCCUGACGGAGCAACGCCGCGUGAGUGAUGAAGGUCUUCGGAUCGUAAAACUCUGUUAUUAGGGAAGAACAAAUGUGUAAGUAACUAUGCACGUCUUGACGGUACCUAAUCAGAAAGCCACGGCUAACUACGUG
This 497-nucleotide ribosomal RNA is filed under the name uncultured bacterium. RNAcentral's name for it is "partial 16S ribosomal RNA". It matches the Rfam family "Bacterial small subunit ribosomal RNA", at positions 28 to 507 of the family's 1533-position model. The record is from RNAcentral.